AGGUUAAGUGAAUAAGGGCGCACGGAGGAUGCCUUGGCACUAGGAGUCGAAGAAGGACGCGACAAACGGCGAAACGCCUCGGGGAGCUGUAAGUGAGCUUUGAUCCGGGGAUAUCCGAAUGGGGAAACCCGCUAGUGGUUAUACGCUAGCACCAUAUGGUGAAUACAUAGCCAUAUAGGAGACAGACCCAGGGAACUGAAACAUCUAAGUACCUGGAGGAAAAGAAAGAAAAAUCGAUUCCCGUAGUAGCGGCGAGCGAAGUGGGAAGAGCCCAAACCGGCACUAGCCGGGGUUGUAGGACCUUCAUAAUUGACAAAUCAUGAUAGCCGAGUGGUCUGGGAAGGCCAACCGGAGAGGGUGAGAGUCCCGUAGGUGAAAUUGUGAAAUGCAUGGAAGGAAUCCUGAGUACGGCGGGACACGUGGAAUCCCGUCGGAAUCAACGAGGACCAUCUCGUAAGGCUAAAUACUACCUAGUGACCGAUAGUGAACCAGUACCGUGAGGGAAAGGUGAAAAGAACCCCGGAAGGGGAGUGAAAGAGAACCUGAAACCGUGUGCCUACAAAUAGUCAGAGCCCGUUAAUGGGUGAUGGCGUGCCUUUUGUAGAAUGAACCGGCGAGUUACGAUAUCGUGCGAGGUUAAGCAGAAGAUGCGGAGCCGUAGCGAAAGCGAGUCUGAAUAGGGCGAAGAGUACGAUGUUGUAGACCCGAAACCGUGUGAGCUAGCCAUGAGCAGGCUGAAGGUCAGGUAACACUGACUGGAGGGCCGAACCAGGGCACGUUGAAAAGUGCUUGGAUGACUUGUGGCUAGGGGUGAAAUUCCAAUCGAACACGGAUAUAGCUGGUUCUCUCCGAAAUAGCUUUAGGGCUAGCCUCGAUGGCAAGUCUACUGGAGGUAGAGCACUGAAUGGGUGAUGGCCCCACCUCGGGGUACUGAUCUCAAUCAAACUCCGAAUGCCAGAUAGAUAUCAUCGGGAGUCAGACUGUGGGUGAUAAGGUCCAUGGUCAAAAGGGAAAGAGCCCAGACCGCCAGCUAAGGCCCCCAAGUGUCCGUUAAGUGGAAAAGGAUGUGGAGAUGCACAGACAACUAGGAGGUUGGCUUAGAAGCAGCCAUCCUUUAAAGAGUGCGUAAUAGCUCACUAGUCGAGUGACUCUGCGCCGAAAAUGUACCGGGGCUAAACGGACCGCCGAAGCUGCGGAUUGACACUUAGGUGUCAGUGGUAGGAGAGCGUUCUAACAGCGGAGAAGCAGUACCGGAAGGAGCUGUGGAGCGGUUAGAAGUGAGAAUGCCGGUGUGAGUAGCGAAAGAUAGGUGAGAAUCCUAUCCAUCGAAAGCCUAAGGUUUCCAGGGGAAGGCUCGUCCGCCCUGGGUAAGUCGGGACCUAAGGUGAGGCCGAAAGGCGUAGCCGAUGGACAACAGGUUGAUAUUCCUGUACCACUUAUUAAACUGAUGGAGUGACGGAGAAGGCUAAGUUGAGCGUGUUAAUGGAUUCACGUGUAAGCAGUGAGGUGGUCAUGUAGGCAAAUCCGCAUGGCAUAACAUUGAGCUGUGAUGCCGAAGCCGUAUGGCGAAGUCAACUGAUGUCACGCUUCCAAGAAAAGCUUCUAGGGUUAAUUUAGUAAGUGCCCGUACCGAUAACCGACACAGGUAGGCGAGGAGAGAAUCCUAAGAUGAGCGAGAGAACUCUUGUUAAGGAACUCGGCAAAAUGACCCCGUAACUUCGGGAGAAGGGGUGCUUGUGAAAGCAAGCCGCAGUGAAUAGGCCCAGGCGACUGUUUAUCAAAAACACAGGUCUCUGCUAAACCGCAAGGUGAUGUAUAGGGGCUGACGCCUGCCCGGUGCUGGAAGGUUAAGAGGAGAGGUUAGCGCAAGCGAAGCUUUGAAUUGAAGCCCCAGUAAACGGCGGCCGUAACUAUAACGGUCCUAAGGUAGCGAAAUUCCUUGUCGGGUAAGUUCCGACCCGCACGAAAGGCGUAACGAUCUGGGCGCUGUCUCAACAAGAGACUCGGUGAAAUCAUAGUACCUGUGAAGAUGCAGGUUACCCGCGACAGGACGGAAAGACCCCGUGGAGCUUUACUGUAGCUUGAUAUUGAGCACUGGUGACACAUGUACAGGAUAGGUAGGAGACGAAGAAGCCAGGACGCCAGUCUUGGUGGAGUCGCUGUUGGGAUACUACCCUUGUGUUACUGGGGUUCUAACCCGUGGCCAUGAUCUGGUCAGGGAACAGUGUCAGGUGGGCAGUUUGACUGGGGCGGUCGCCUCCCAAAGAGUAACGGAGGCGCCCAAAGGUUCCCUCAGAAUGGUUGGAAAUCAUUCGAAGAGUGUAAAGGCAGAAGGGAGCUUGACUGCGAGACCUACAAGUCGAGCAGGGACGAAAGUCGGGCUUAGUGAUCCGGCGGUACCGAAUGGAAGGGCCGUCGCUCAACGGAUAAAAGCUACCUCGGGGAUAACAGGCUGAUCUCCCCCAAGAGUUCACAUCGACGGGGAGGUUUGGCACCUCGAUGUCGGCUCGUCGCAUCCUGGGGCUGAAGUAGGUCCCAAGGGUUGGGCUGUUCGCCCAUUAAAGCGGCACGCGAGCUGGGUUCAGAACGUCGUGAGACAGUUCGGUCCCUAUCCGUCGCGGGCGUAGGAAAUUUGAGAGGAGCUGUCCUUAGUACGAGAGGACCGGGAUGGACUGACCUAUGGUGUACCAGUUGUUUCGCCAGAAGCAUAGCUGGGUAGCUAAGUCGGGAAGGGAUAAACGCUGAAAGCAUCUAAGUGUGAAGCCCACCUCAAGAUGAGAUUUCCCAUAGCAUAAGCUAGUAAGACCCCUUGAAGACUACAAGGUUGAUAGGUCAGAGGUGUAAGUGCGGUAACGUAUUUAGCUGACUGAUACUAAUAGGUCGAGGGCUUGACCAAU
RNAcentral lists this ribosomal RNA (2897 nucleotides) under Turicibacter sanguinis. Its description in RNAcentral is "23S ribosomal RNA". It matches the Rfam family "Bacterial large subunit ribosomal RNA". Lineage: Bacteria; Bacillati; Bacillota; Erysipelotrichia; Erysipelotrichales; Turicibacteraceae. The record is from RNAcentral.